Molecule: long non-coding RNA, 1073 nt
Filed under: Calidris pugnax (ruff)
Lineage: Eukaryota; Metazoa; Chordata; Aves; Charadriiformes; Scolopacidae
Description: lncRNA (ENSCPUG00000001649.1)
Source: RNAcentral
CCCGAAAUGCCCAGUGCUGUCCCAGUAAAGCACUGGUUUUGCUGACGUCACAGCCCGUUGCCGGCCUCCCGCGUUCCACACAACAUUCCGACGCGGUGGUCGCUGCUGCUCGUGGCUGUGGCAGUGUCCUGCUGCUCUGGAGAGCAAAGCUCACCCAUUGGACUGUUUUUUGAGGGGAAACCCGAAGUUUUCCUGCCCGAUGGGGCGCAUAAAGACUGUCGUGGCCACAGGGUAACGCUGGGUGUGGGAGAGGGGGGGUGGAAGUUGGUGGCAGAAGAAUGAGUGAUGUUUUGCUGGGAAAUAGGGACUGGUUUUGCCCAGACUCGUCGGGUUUUCCCUCUUUUGAAGCGUUUGUUGCGCCGUAUCUGUUCCCGACUUGCCUUCCUCACCCUCCUCUUCCUCACCCUCCUCUUCCUCACACCAAAUAACCUUCUCUUCCUCACCCCAAAUCUCCUCUUCCUCACCCCCAAACCUCCUCCUUUUCCUCUCCCUCCUCUUCCUCACCCCUAAUCCCCUCUUCUUCUUCACCCUCCUCUUCCUCACCCCAAAUCAUCUCCUCUUCCUCACCCCAAUCCCCUCCUCUUCUUCUCCCUCCUCUUCCUCACCCCAAAUCUCCUCUUCCUCACCCCCAAACCUCCUCCUUUUCCUCUCCCUCCUCUUCCUCACCCCUAAUCCCCUCUUCUUCUUCACCCUCCUCUUCCUCACCCCAAAUCAUCUCCUCUUCCUCACCCCAAUCCCCUCCUCUUCUUCUCCCUCCUCUUCCUCACCCCAAAUCUCCUCUUCCUCACCCCCAAACCUCCUCCUUUUCCUCUCCCUCCUCUUCCUCACCCCUAAUCCCCUCUUCUUCUUCACCCUCCUCUUCCUCACCCCAAAUCAUCUCCUCUUCCUCACCCCAAUCCCCUCCUCUUCUUCUCCCUCCUCUUCCUCACCCCAAAUCUCCUCUUCCUCACCCCCAAACCUCCUCCUUUUCCUCUCCCUCCUCUUCCUCACCCCUAAUCCCCUCUUCUUCUUCACCCUCCUCUUCCUCACCCCAAAUCAUCUCCUCUUCCUCACCCCAAUCCCCUCCUCUUCUU